This is an RNA transcript of Chroicocephalus ridibundus (black-headed gull), 2337 nucleotides long. It is a transcript of the gene named zinc finger protein 511, with no coding region annotated. Lineage: Eukaryota; Metazoa; Chordata; Aves; Charadriiformes; Laridae. The transcript has 7 exons. The record is from RefSeq and is a predicted model, not a curated record.
AUGCUCACGCUGCCGGCCGGACUGCACAGCCGCCUCAGGGAAAGGCCGCCUGCCCCGCCGCGGCCCGCCCCACCGCUCCCGACCCCGGCGCCUGCCCCGUCGUCCUCCCCUUCCCCCUUCGCCUUCGCCCCCCGUCGCCUCCGCCUCGGCCUCCAUCACCCGCUGCUGGAGGAUGGAGACAUUCACAGGCACCUCUACCUCCAGGGUGUCCUCACCAGCCUCGCGGAGGUGGCAGAGAGACCCAAGGUGUCUGAAUUCAGUUGCCACAUCUCUGGGUGCUGCCAGGUCUUUGAUACACUGGAGGGCUACGAGCACCACUACAACACGCUGCACAGGAACGUCUGCUCCUUCUGCAAGCGCUCCUUUCCAUCGGGGCAUCUUUUGGAUAUUCACAUCUUGGAAUGGCACGACUCGCUCUUCCAGAUAAUGGCCGAGAAGCAAAACAUGUACAAGUGUUUGGUAGAAGGCUGUGCAGAGAAGUUCAAGAGCAGCAAGGACAGAAAGGAUCACUUGGUCACCGUUCACCUUUAUCCUGCUGACUUUCGGUUUGAUAGGCCGAAGAAAGUGCAAAGUGGCCCCAAGCACGUGAGCUCUCCUGUGAAGCAGGGUGUUGGUGUACCAAUGGAUGUGAGCAUGGAGACAUCGGAACCAUUCCCAGUGGACCCCAUGGAAAUAGGGCCCAGUGAGAACAUGGAGAUCCCUCAUCCUGCAGCCAGCCCUGGCCUCGGGGUGCCAGAGAAACGACACUAUAAAUCCAGAAUCCCAUCCACAAUUUGCUUUGGACAAGGUGCCACCCGAGGAUUUAAAGGACCAAGGAAGAAAGUCUGAAGGUCAGCGCACCAGAUUUGUGCACGAUGAGAAGGCCACUGGCUGCUGUCACCCAUAAAUGUUUGCGACAGCACUGCGGCUGAGCUGGGAUAUUUGCAGCUGCGUAGGAGGGUCCUGCUCCGUACAGGGAAGGCAGAAGGGCGAAAACAGGGAUUGCGCGGCAGCUGUUUGGGAUACAUCAAUACCUUGGGACGGGCUUUGCUACGGUCCCUCUGUGUCUCUGUACCACCCUCAGUUGGGCAGCAUUUCAGAGCUGACCCGUGCUUACGUUUAUCCUUCCCAAGACACAACAGUCUCUUUUCUGAUCCCCUCUGAAAUCAAACUACGAAUACAUUCCUCUGCCUCUGUGCUGUGAGCGUUUGUGUCUCAUCAGUGCCAGGACCACUCUGAGCAGCAGUGGCAUUCUAGAUGGAUGGUCACAUCUCACCUGAACUUGCAAAUGCUGUUCUGAAACUCCGGGCAGCUGUGGGGAUCGCAUACACUUUGUGAAAAACUUGCAAGGCAUCACCCCCAAAGAUGCAGCAGGAAUGACACCGGGCAAAGUAUGCCGUGUUUCCUCUUCCUGCAGAAAGCUCUACAUCCCCCCAGCCUCCUCAGCUGGCCCUCGGGCAAGGUGUCACGCUUCCCUGCCAGCCCUGCUUGCACAAAGGAGAACCAAAAUAAAAUCCAGAGGAAGAGCAGUGUAGAUUAAAGCAAUUGAUUUAAUUAUUUUAAUUGAAUUCUUUCAUUUUCUUGCUGUUUUUAAAAGCUCCCGGCGAGGACAGCCCCGGGCAGACACGGGGCAGGUUGAACUACGCAUCAGCUGCUCGCAGAAAGUUUCAGGCUGCAGUGGAGCGCUGCGACGUGGAGGUGAGAGGAGAUCAGCUGCUGGAGCUGAGGCUACGCAGGAUUGGGGUUUUUUUUGCUUUUUUGUCUUUUGGGGGGAAGAAAUAGAUUCAAGAAAUUGGAAGACAAAAUCUGCUGACUGUUCAGAAGCUGGUGCCACUGACUAAAAGAAAAAAACAGAGGAAAAAAAAGCACAGGUCCUUAAUUCUGUCCUCCUCCAUCUUGCCGAAGUCUGCUCUCGUCCCUGGCACUUGAUCUCAAACCCCCACAAAAGGUUUGCCCAGGACAGGAAAAGCAUUCUGGUGCCUUGCAGCUCAUUUCCAUGGGGAGUUAGAAUAAAGUGACUUCCAACUAGCUGAAUAAAUAAAAGGAAUUUUUACAAAAUUGCUUUGUAGAGGAUUUAAAUGCUGUUUUGAAGCCCAGGCAGUCAGAUGUAAAGAGUGAACCUUCCCCGGCUCCAAAUACACCAAAAAUCAGGCAGUAGCAGGUGGAGUCACACAGCGGCAGCUGUCAGAAGGACAACGGGCCGGUCGGACAUACGGACAGGCACGCCUGCAAGCAAACGCACGCAGAGAGCGGGACUCGGGGCGGCACGCGUGCGUGCAUGCCACUUGUACACGCGUGUACGGCAGCUGUGCGCGCACACACCACGCACAGGGCGUUUGCAAGCAAGUGCGCCCAUGG